This 222-nucleotide ribosomal RNA is filed under the name uncultured bacterium. RNAcentral describes it as "partial 16S ribosomal RNA". It matches the Rfam family "Bacterial small subunit ribosomal RNA", at positions 524 to 744 of the family's 1533-position model. The record is from RNAcentral.
UACGUAGGGGGCAAGCGUUGUCCGGAUUUAUUGGGCGUAAAGAGCGUGUAGGCGGCCUUACAGGUCAGCUGUGAAAACUCGAGGCUCAACCUCGAGACGUCGGUUGAAACCGUACGGCUAGAGUCCGGAAGAGGAGAGUGGAAUUCCCGGUGUAGCGGUGAAAUGCGCAGAUAUCGGGAAGAACACCCGUGGCGAAGGCGGCUCUCUGGGACGGUACUGGAC